Long non-coding RNA from Gymnogyps californianus (California condor), 1914 nucleotides. RefSeq lists it as uncharacterized. Lineage: Eukaryota; Metazoa; Chordata; Aves; Accipitriformes; Cathartidae. The record is from RefSeq and is a predicted model, not a curated record. The transcript is spliced from 4 exons.
AGGGUCCCCCUUCGUCCAUUGGUGCCUCUCUGGGGGCACCCAGCUGGAGCUGAUCCUGCUGCUGUAGCACUCAAAUUAUUUGUUUUUAUAAGACUCAAUGCAUGAGAGUCUGUUUCAGGAAACUGAGGGCUUGAACUUCAGAGCGAACUAACAUCGGAUGCCUGGACGGAUCAGUAAGUUAUUACCCAGUGUGGCAGGUACACCCGCCCUGAUUGAGAGCGAAACUUCUCAGCCUGUGAAAAGAGAAAAAAACCUAGAAGCUGUGGUUUGGGCGUUGAGCCGCACCACCUGCAUGAUGGAGUCAGGGUACGACCACCAGAUCAGAUUUGACUAGGGUAUAAAUGGAGCCCCGCGGGGGUGAACAAAUUGAGCCGGUCCUCCUCGGAGCAGCAGGUCUGCAGUCAAAGACUCUCCCCUUGGGUCAGGAUGCCACCGAAGGUAGCUCCUGCAGGUUGAAAGCCCUCAUCUUUUAGGAAAGACAAUUUUGUGUCAUCAAGGAAAAGUAUUUUGGGAGUGAGGAACUGAAGAGGAUUUAUCCAACUUAGUAUGCACAGUCCUGAGGAAGAUGAAUAGCUCUCUGUUUUUCAGAACAAGGCAAAAUUCAAGUAAAGCUAUUAAUUUUCAACAACUGACAGAGACAGUGAAACUUCAAAUGUUUAUAAAUGGCAUGGAUGGUUAAAGAAAAGAAACUACAAGAGUCAAACCUAAAUACUUUAUUUAGCAGACAUUUUGCAGAGCCUUUUUCUGUGUCAUAGAUUCUCUCCGACUUGUGUUACAUUCUUCUGGUAACUUUUUUAACCACUCUGGUUUUUGAACACCUACAAGAGUACCCUGCAGGUUCCAUCUUUCUCUUCUAAAAAUUAUUUUCCUUUUACUUUUUUUUGGAGAAUCUCUUGCCAUGCUUUUUUCACCUCUUUGGUGGAUCUGAUGCCAUCUUUCACAGUCCUUAAAGUCAAUGACUCAGCAAUAGACUAAUUUUCUCUUUCCCUCCUUUCUUUACCCUAACAUUUUUUCCUUUACGCUGGACCCCAUAUAUGCAUUACAGCAUGAUUUUGAUGCACUGAAUCUUGUAUUUUAAAAUGACAUUGUAUAUCCUUGUUAACUUUGUGAAAGUUUCUGAUUGAGAUUCCUGAGAUAAAAUUAUUAAUGACUCUAGGUUGAGGCCAAACAUGACUGUUACCAACUGCUCUGGCUUGAUGAUGGAUAUGAACGAAACCAUAACACACAUACACCUGUGUAUUACCUGCUGUUAUUCAAAGCAUUUCCAGAUAAGCUGGAAAAGACUAUUAUUGAAGUGUAUCAUGUGGCUGAAACCCACAGUUGGCUUGAUAGUUCAAAACCAGAGUGAAUCUGUUUUUUAUAAGUGUGGCAGGUGCACCUGCCCCGAUAAAGGCCGAAACUUCUUGAGCGCUGGAAGGACAGAGUUAAACUAGAAGCCACGGUUUGGGGGUCGAGCCGGCCAGCAGAGUGCCCCAAGUCAUGCGCUCCAGCUACCUGAGCCCACCAAAAAACACCUCAACCAGUGAAACCCCUCAGUUAAGAGAAGUUUCCAGACCACUGACCAUAUAUGACCAUGAGCCCCGAUCCGACCUAGGGUAUAAAUGGAGCCCUGCUGGAAGACCCCUUUAAGCCAGUCUUCCUCAGAGCAGCAGGUCUGCAGUUGGGGACUCUCCCUGUGGGUCGGGACACCAUCCAUGGAAACUCCUGCAGGUUGAGAGCCUCGCCUUAUCGGUGAGUGAUUGCACAUUUUGAGUCAUCAUUCUAAGCUUAGAUUUGGGCUUAGUUUGUGUAGUGAUGGUUCCCAGCUGACAUCCUGAACCUGUAAAUAAAUUGCGUUGUUUGCAGUGUUUACAACCUAAUAUUCCUUUUUAAUCUGGCUAUUAUAUCUCAAUACAACAUAACAUUCCUGUUCAC